RNAcentral lists this ribosomal RNA (253 nucleotides) under uncultured bacterium. Its description in RNAcentral is "partial 16S ribosomal RNA". It matches the Rfam family "Bacterial small subunit ribosomal RNA", at positions 524 to 776 of the family's 1533-position model. The record is from RNAcentral.
AACGUAGGAGACAAACGUUAUCCGGAGUUACUGGGCGUAAAGGGCGUGUAGGUGGUUUUGUAAGUCUGGCGUGAAAUUUUUCGGCUUAACCGGGAAAGGUCGUCGGAUACUGCAAGGCUAGAGGACGGUAGAGGCGUGUGGAAUUCCGGGUGUAGUGGUGAAAUGCGUAGAGAUCCGGAGGAACACCAGUGGCGAAGGCGACACGCUGGGCCGGUACUGACGCUGAGACGCGAAAGCGUGGGGAGCAAACAGG